Non-coding RNA from Camellia sinensis, 1244 nucleotides. The record is from RefSeq and is a predicted model, not a curated record. NCBI's taxonomy places the organism in Eukaryota, Viridiplantae, Streptophyta, Magnoliopsida, Ericales, Theaceae.
GCAAGUAGGAAGCGAAUGAGAGAACUCGACGAGGGGGAUCUUGAUUCCACCUUUUAGAGGCCAACUUACCUAUACUUGGAAAGCUGGUGUGUAGACUUGACUCACUGCCUCUUUCUUCCCCACGCCUUUGCCCUCCUUCCACGAUCUCUUUCGCAACGUCAUCACACCGUCGCACGAUCUCUCUCUCUCUCUCUCUCUCUUCUCUACUAUUGAAGAUCGAACAUGGAGGCUUCUCAAUCUCUGCUCCAACGAUAUCGCAGCGAUCGUCGUCAGCUCCUGAGUUUCAUACUCUCAUCAGGUUUGAUAAAGGAGCUCCGGUCCCCUACUGGUGCCACCUCCUCUGUCUCCGACUCUGAUCUUGAACUUCUCAGCGCCGAUUACGUCCUCCAAUGCGCACAAUCCGGAUCCGAGUCUUGUCUUUGUUCGCCGUGGAACCUCUAGAACAAAUUCAAGACAAGGCACUCUGAGAAGAAGUGACUCCAUGUGGCACACAAAUUAUUAACCUGUGGUAGCCAAAUUGUUGCUUUGAGAUGUUCUACCUCUUGUUUACAUAAAAGUGUAGCAGCUCAAGGUUUUUGUAUUUUUAGCUGCUGAGUAUGAAACUCCAAAGAACUCCCUGAAUCAGGUCAGCUUUUUAGCAUUUGGUGGCAUGCAUUAUUUCAUCAUGAGUUCAUUUCAAUUUGGCAUUGGAUAUUAUUCUUAACCUCAAGCUUCAUUUCAAAUUUCAUGAGAUUAUGGAGCUAGUCAGUUUUUGUCCGAUGUCCCUUGCUGGAUAGGUGCAGUCGGAUCAUUGUCCAGAUCAUCCUUAGACUCCAUAAUAAGUACUAUGAUGUUUCUCGAUUCUUGAAAUUUUUUCCCUUUACUCUAUGUUUCAGAUAUUGGCAUACAUGAUGAUAAAUUUAACCUUUUGGCUUAAGAAAUUUUGCUCCUUAGCUUCUACAUAUUUACUCUGAACAUGAUAGACAAUGUUUAAAAAAUUUGAAUGUCUUUAUUAUUAUGGCUAAUAUAUGUAACAUAGUGAUAAAAAGCCAAGUGUGGUUGAUGCCUCUUGAGGUUAUUUGGACUUAAGUCUUUGUAUUAUAAUUUUUUAAGCUUGUAUUGCCAGGGAAAAAAGAGAAACCUAAAUCGGCCACCAGUUAUGCUUCUUGAACUGUUUCUUUAGGUUAGACCUAGAGAUGUUAUAAAAAGUAUGGACAAAGCCUUUCACACAAAUAUUAUAUUGAACUUCUAGAGAGAGAGAAAAG